AACCAUAGAAACCUGCGGAGUACCUGCGGAAGGAUCAUUAUCAAGAGUGUAUGACCCCCUUAUAAAAUAGUGGGGUUAACCUCCCGUCCUUUGAAGGUCCCUCUUUGUUGAGGGUAAUUUGAACCCUUCUGCUUCGGUGGGCUUACUCACCGGAACAACCUCAAAAUUCUUUGUUCAACAGUUCAGUCCGAGUGGUAUAUUUUAAAAUUUUGAAAAACUUUUAACAAUGGAUCUCAGAUC
RNAcentral lists this unclassified non-coding RNA (240 nucleotides) under soil metagenome. RNAcentral's name for it is "partial contains 5.8S ribosomal RNA, internal transcribed spacer 2, and large subunit ribosomal RNA". The record is from RNAcentral.